AGUCGAGCGGGGAGAUGUAGCUUGCUACAUUUCCUAGCGGCGGACGGGUGAGUAAUGCUUAGGAAUCUGCCUAUUAGUGGGGGACAACAUUCCGAAAGGAAUGCUAAUACCGCAUACGCCCUACGGGGGAAAGCAGGGGAUCUUCGGACCUUGCGCUAAUAGAUGAGCCUAAGUCAGAUUAGCUAGUUGGUGGGGUAAAGGCCUACCAAGGCGACGAUCUGUAGCGGGUCUGAGAGGAUGAUCCGCCACACUGGGACUGAGACACGGCCCAGACUCCUACGGGAGGCAGCAGUGGGGAAUAUUGGACAAUGGGCGAAAGCCUGAUCCAGCCAUGCCGCGUGUGUGAAGAAGGCCUUUUGGUUGUAAAGCACUUUAAGCGAGGAGGAGGCUACUUAGAUUAAUACUCUAGGAUAGUGGACGUUACUCGCAGAAUAAGCACCGGCUAACUCUGUGCCAGCAGCCGCGGUAAUACAGAGGGUGCGAGCGUUAAUCGGAUUUACUGGGCGUAAAGCGUGCGUAGGCGGCUUUUUAAGUCGGAUGUGAAAUCCCUGAGCUUAACUUAGGAAUUGCAUUCGAUACUGGGAAGCUAGAGUAUGGGAGAGGAUGGUAGAAUUCCAGGUGUAGCGGUGAAAUGCGUAGAGAUCUGGAGGAAUACCGAUGGCGAACGCAGCCAUCUGGCCUAAUACUGACGCUGAUGUACGAAAGCAUGGGGAGCAAACAGGAUUAGAUACCCUGGUAGUCCAUGCCGUAAACGAUGUCUACUAGCCGUUGGGGCCUUUGAGGCUUUAGUGGCGCAGCUAACGCGAUAAGUAGACCGCCUGGGGAGUACGUCGCAAGACUAAAACUCAAUGAAUUUGACGGGGCCC
This 866-nucleotide ribosomal RNA is filed under the name uncultured bacterium. RNAcentral describes it as "bacterial SSU rRNA". It matches the Rfam family "Bacterial small subunit ribosomal RNA", at positions 60 to 921 of the family's 1533-position model. The record is from RNAcentral.